GCCGGGUGUAAGCUCGCCUGGAGCCGCCUCCGGCGCAGAUCAUGGUGGUAGUAGCAAAUACUCAAGUGAGAACCUUGAGGACUGAGGUGGAGAAGGGUUCCAUGUGAACAGCAGUUGAACAUGGGUCAGUCGGUCCUAAGGGAUAGGAGAAAUCCGUUCCGAGGCGGGACCUAAUUUAUUAUGAAAGUCCCGCUGAUGACCGAAAGGGAAUCGGGUUAAUAUUCCCGAAUCCGGACGCGGAGAUCGUCCUCUUCGGAGGUACAUUGCGGUAACGCAAACGAGUUCGGAGACGUCGACGGGAGCACCGGGAAGAGUUAUCUUUUCUUUGUAAGGAUUCGACUCCCUGGAAUCGGCUCGCCCGGAGAUAGGGAUGGUGUUUCCGUAAAGCACCGCGCCUCUUGCGGUGUCCGGAUCGCUCCCGUCGGCCCUUGAAAAUCCGAGUGAGAGAUAGUGAUUUUCGUGCCGGACCGUACCCAUAUCCGCAGCAGGUCU
RNAcentral lists this ribosomal RNA (492 nucleotides) under Forsteropsalis inconstans. Its description in RNAcentral is "partial large subunit ribosomal RNA". It matches the Rfam family "Eukaryotic large subunit ribosomal RNA", at positions 1410 to 1866 of the family's 3401-position model. The record is from RNAcentral. Lineage: Eukaryota; Metazoa; Arthropoda; Arachnida; Opiliones; Neopilionidae.